AACCCAUGGUGAGGGCACCUUCUUAGUAAGUCCUUGUAUCUCUCUCAUGCAUCAAAAAGUGUUUCUAAAUCCACCUGCAUAAAAUAAGAGAUAUCAUUACGUAAUUU
Molecule: small nucleolar RNA, 107 nt
Filed under: Gossypium hirsutum (cotton)
Lineage: Eukaryota; Viridiplantae; Streptophyta; Magnoliopsida; Malvales; Malvaceae
Description: Plant small nucleolar RNA R71
Rfam family: Plant small nucleolar RNA R71
About the family: R71 is a member of the C/D box family of snoRNAs containing the C (UGAUGA) and D (CUGA) box motifs. Multiple nearly identical copies of this snoRNA have been identified in Arabidopsis, and it is thought to function as a 2'-O-ribose methylation guide for 18S ribosomal RNA.
Source: Rfam by way of RNAcentral